Molecule: ribosomal RNA, 265 nt
Filed under: uncultured archaeon
Lineage: Archaea
Description: partial 16S ribosomal RNA
Rfam family: Archaeal small subunit ribosomal RNA
Source: RNAcentral
ACACGACUACAUUAGAUACCCGUGUAGUCCUAGCCGUAAACGAUACUCGCUAGGUGUCGGCCACGGUGCGACCGUUGUCGGUGCCGUAGGGAAGCCGUGAAGCGAGCCACCUGGGAAGUACGGCCGCAAGGCUGAAACUUAAAGGAAUUGGCGGGGGAGCACCGCAACGGGAGGAGCGUGCGGUUCAAUUGGAUUCAACGCCGGACAACUCACCAGGAGCGACGGUUACAUGAAGGCCAGGCUGAUGACCUUGCCUGAUUUCCCG